GUCCGUAAGUGGGAAGAUUGGGAUCGGCCCUGUUUGUUGUAGCGGGCUAAAUUAUAAACCGAUUUGCGCCAGGCAGGAUUCACUGAGGUGGGAUGUAACGACCAAACAAGAAGUAGUACAAUGACGGGGAGAUUUCAGGAGAGAUUUGAGCGUUGGCUAAUACACAAGAAACAAUACAUGUCUAUGAUAAUAAAAAAAAGGGAUGUACUUUAUUGGAAACAAACUUGGAUUUUCUUUUGUAAGGAAUCGGAUCAAAAGCCCAGGCUACACGAUGAUCGACAAAGGCAAAAUGUAUCUCUGUGUGGACAGCAGGUUCCCAUGAAGAGAGAGGUCCUCUACACCCUGUAGGUGAGGCUGACCCUGACACUGUUGUUCAGACGAGCCAAAGCAUCCAUGCCUGCACAAACCAGUCCGUGUCCCUGGGAAACUCGCUCAGCCAAAGCAACAGGGGACCCUCUGCCUGACAGCCUCCCUGCCAGAAAAACUAAUCAGCCGCCGGAUCCAGGCUUCUUGCAGGGCCAGCUUCACUACAAGAAUAAUCUGCCUAACACAAACGCCAGUUGGGUCUGCAGACCUUGAGUACUCCAGCAGCCUCGUUUCAGCCCACCAACUGUCUGCUGUUACCAAGAUGGAGACCUGGAGCCAAAAUGAGUGGACCCAGCAGAAGCCUGCCAGCUGAAGAAAGAAGAAGACAUGGAGGUGGAAAGUUAUGAGGUUCACCAGAAAUAAUCCCUUUAGAUCAAUUUGAUGCUGGGAAACUAAUCUGCAUUUUGAUUCUUAAAACAUUAAAGGAAAUCUGUAAUCUGA
Trematomus bernacchii (emerald rockcod) is the source of this 807-nucleotide long non-coding RNA. RefSeq lists it as uncharacterized. The record is from RefSeq and is a predicted model, not a curated record. The transcript is spliced from 3 exons. Lineage: Eukaryota; Metazoa; Chordata; Actinopteri; Perciformes; Nototheniidae.